GCGGGCUACACAUGCAGUCGAGCGGAUGAAGGGAGCUUGCUCCUGGAUUCAGCGGCGGACGGGUGAGUAAUGCCUGGGAAUCUGCCUGGUAGUGGGGGAUAACGUCCGGAAACGGGCGCUAAUACCGCAUACGUCCUGAGGGAGAAAGUGGGGGAUCUUCGGACCUCACGCUAUCAGAUGAGCCUAGGUCGGAUUAGCUAGUUGGUGGGGUAAAGGCCUACCAAGGCGACGAUCCGUAACUGGUCUGAGAGGAUGAUCAGUCACACUGGAACUGAGACACGGUCCAGACUCCUACGGGAGGCAGCAGUGGGGAAUAUUGGACAAUGGGCGAAAGCCUGAUCCAGCCAUGCCGCGUGUGUGAAGAAGGUCUUCGGAUUGUAAAGCACUUUAAGUUGGGAGGAAGGGCAGUAAGUUAAUACCUUGCUGUUUUGACGUUACCAACAGAAUAAGCACCGGCUAACUUCGUGCCAGCAGCCGCGGUAAUACGAAGGGUGCAAGCGUUAAUCGGAAUUACUGGGCGUAAAGCGCGCGUAGGUGGUUCAGCAAGUUGGAUGUGAAAUCCCCGGGCUCAACCUGGGAACUGCAUCCAAAACUACUGAGCUAGAGUACGGUAGAGGGUGGUGGAAUUUCCUGUGUAGCGGUGAAAUGCGUAGAUAUAGGAAGGAACACCAGUGGCGAAGGCGACCACCUGGACUGAUACUGACACUGAGGUGCGAAAGCGUGGGGGAGCAAACAGGAUUAGAUACCCUGGUAGUCCACGCCCGUAACGAUGUCGACUAGCCCGUUGGGGAUCCCUUGAGAUCUUAGUGGCGCAGCUAACGCGAUAAGUCGACCGCCCUGGGGAGUAGGAGCAUG
Molecule: ribosomal RNA, 855 nt
Filed under: Pseudomonas aeruginosa
Lineage: Bacteria; Pseudomonadati; Pseudomonadota; Gammaproteobacteria; Pseudomonadales; Pseudomonadaceae
Description: bacterial SSU rRNA
Rfam family: Bacterial small subunit ribosomal RNA
Source: RNAcentral